Molecule: long non-coding RNA, 4539 nt
Organism: Canis lupus familiaris (dog)
Lineage: Eukaryota; Metazoa; Chordata; Mammalia; Carnivora; Canidae
Exons: 3
Source: RefSeq, a predicted model, not a curated record
UUCACUAUAUGAAUAUGUUACAACUUAUUUAUUCUGCUGUAAUGGUCAUUUAAAUUGUUUUCCAUUUUUGUUUUGAUUUGGUUUUUAUUUGCUGUUACAACCAAUGCCGUCGUGAACAUUCCUCUACAUGAUAUGACUUAUAUAGGCUGUACCCUCCAUCUCUCUUAUUUACUAUGCUAACCUCUUUAUUCCUUAUUUCUCCAACUGGAUAGUCAGGGGAAGUAUUUAAUUCAUAGAGUUGUUAUGAGGAAAAAAAUGAGAUAAUAUGUAAAGUGUUUAAUAGUUUAUUAAAUGCUGUGUAAGUGUUAAUGAUCAUGAUGUUUUCUGAAUCAGAUAUACAAAAGGAUAUAUAUCGUGGAGUAGAAUUUUUGAGUUAUAAUAUAUAUAAAGCACCUUAAAUUAUACCAUGGCCAACUGUGAGUAGUCUUAUAAUAUUUAUUCUCCCACCUUCCAUAGUGAUGUCAUUUUAGCUGGGAACAUGAUUGUCUACCUAAAGGCUGAAUUUCAUAGACUCUUUGCAAUUGUGAUUAAGUUUUUGACUAUGUCAAGAAGAAUGUCACAAGAAAUAAUGGAUACCCUCCUUCUUCUUGUCCUUAGAAAGAUUCAUAAAUGCCCUUUUUGUACCUUCCCCUUUUUCAUUUGUGAGAGAAUAUUAAAAUUAGAGCAAAUGCCUUGGAGCUGGAGAUGAAAGCCACACGUUGACGGUGUCAGAACUACUUUACUAGCUCUGCUCUAAUAUCUGAGAGAAAUACACUUUUAUCACAGGCACUAUUUGGGACAUCAUUUUUUUCAGCAGCUCUGCCUGUAGCCUAACAAAUCAAUAUGAAAUUGAUGAAAGGAGAAAAAGAUCAUGCCUUGUUUCAGGUGUCUAGACAGGGUUUGUUGGCACAGUCAGAAGCAGCAUUGCAGCCCCACUUAGAAUGACUGAAUGGGACAGUGGGGAAGGAAAUCCUUCUAUGUAAACUUUGCUUAGAAGGAGAGAUAAUCAGAGGUAAAACUCUGAACCAGUUAAUGACCAUUAGUCAACAACUUGGUCAGAUUUUCUCAAAUAUAAAAGGAAAGUAUUGGAGAAUUGGAAGUGGUUUAAGGUAAAAAAAAAAAAAAAAAGUAUAUGCACGGAAUUCUUGGAAUGCUCUCAAAUUGUGACAAUAGUUAUGGGCCACAAAAUGCUCACCAAAGAGCUUUCCCUGGAGAUGGUGUGAGUGAUUAGGUGGACAAAGUCACUCACUAUGCAAUUAUCAGGCAACUUGUGCCAGUCACCUUAGUGCUUGUUCAGUAAUCUCUUAGGCAAGGUGACUAUGACAUCAGGAUGUAGGUGAUGCAUGAAUUCAGAAACCUGGGUUUUCCCUCUUUAAUGCUGAUCUGGCUACUGUUAUUGCCAAGACUCCCAAAUCAACAAACACAAGACAGCCCCCAUUAUAGCAUCAAAUCCAGAGAGGAUCACCCAACUGCUAGGUGGUGAAAGAUUACUUUCAUUGUUCCCAUUCUAUAAUGGAGGACACAGUGAUUUAACCUCCUUGGUAUAGACACUAACUGUGGUUAAGAACUUGUUUUCUCUGCCUGUCCUACUUCUGCCAGAAUCAGUAUGGUUCAACUUUUUGAAUUUCAUAUUUACUGAAACAGAUUCCCUCACAAUGUUUGUCUCACCACAGAGAAAGCAGUAAAGCAAUGGUAUUCAGUGUUCUUACUAUGUGCCCCGCCACCCACAACAGCUGACCUGAUAAAAAAAUUGGGAGUCCUUCUGAAACUUGUUAUAGUGCCAGCUGGGAAUGAUCACAUUUUCUUAUAUCAUAAGCGCAUGCUUGACAUAUUGUAAUAACAUCCCUCACAGGGCCUGAUUCUGAGACAGUUUGAGGAUGAUUUCUUCUUUCUUUUAAAAGGAGUUUGCUGUUGUGAGGAUCCCUCUGGGGGUUGACUGUAUGGUUGCUGUCACCUUGAUUGUGCUACCCAUCCAAGACCUUCUGAACAGCAACAUCAGCAAAUGGCAUUGAACAAGGUCCCAUUGACAGAGCAACAAAAGGAUAUUUUGUGAGUCAAGAGUCAAUCUUGGAUUGUCUUUUGGAAAAUAAUCCUUCUUAAACCCCAGCAGUGGACUGUAUGAGGCAGGUCCUAAUAAUGAUUAUGAACACAGUGAUAGGGUUUGGAGGUGCCUUUCCUGAGUCUAAGAGUACAACCACAGUAUCUAUUAAAAGGGGGCAUUAGAAUAAAGUUGUUACUCAUAUUUGAAUGGAAACCAGUGUAUUUUAUUGAAAUUCAAAUUUAGAGGUUAUUGAAAUUGCAUUUCUAAUAUUUUUACCUGAUAUUUCAUGAGUUUUAAAAAUGUCUCUACUGAGAAAAGCCAUAAAAGAUACGAAAAAGUUUUUUAUGCUUGCUCCCAAAAGGAAUACUAGUUACAUAUUUCUUUUGGAAAAAUUCAGGAAACCAUAUUGGCUAUGCUACUGUGACCAAGAUGCUUUAAGCCAGUUUCUUAGACUUUUAUAACCGUGAAGGCAAAGUAAGAAGUAUAUUUUGUACCAUAAUCUCAUUCACAUUCACAUACAAAAACAAAAGUUUGAAGAGUAUUUUCCCUUAUUGCUUGUUAUACUCUCUAAUAUUUUCUGAUUCAUUAUAUUUUAUAGCAAAAUACUAGCUGUGACCCAUGAAGCUAUGUCAUUACCCAGUAGAGGAUCAUGUUGUCCAGUUAUAAAACAGUGAUCAAACAGGACCAUUUGGAAAUUACACUUGGUCUAUAUUGUCCUGGUUAGUUUUCCUCCCACAUAAUGGCCAUUUCUAAAAAAGCAAUCCCUUUGAAUUACCUUAAGCAAAACUACAAUAGUAACCUAUGUUUUCCUUCUUUCUAAUACAAAUCACUGCAGUUAUACAAGAUACAUUAUUUGAUCUCGUUUAGGUGAUUUAUAAAAUAUAACUGUGCACAAGUUUACUUACAUUAGUAACAUUUUCUCUGAAAUAAUCAAUAAUAACCACCUAUUGCUUAGGGAGAAAGAAAAAUUUAACACCAAAUAAAUAUGGUGCAUUAUCUAAAGAAAGAAAAGUAGUAGAGGACAGCAUUGGAAUAAGUGGCAGAUUUCAAAUACUGAAUGUGAAUUACAUAGCAAUAUUGAAUCCAAAUUAGAGUUCCUGAUUAUGAUAAUUGUACAAUGAUUAUAUAGACAAUGUACACAUUCUUGGAAAAUACAUAUUGAAGUAUUUCAGGAAAAAGGUGUGUCAUGUCUGCAAUUUCAUCUUAAAUGCCAAAUGGUUCAGAGAAAAAAGAAAGAUAUGAGGAUGUGUGCAUGUAGAGAAAGAGAAUAAUAUAAUAACAAAUAGGGAAAAAGUUAACACCUGUUGAAUCUGGCUAACAGAUACAAGAUUUAUACCAUUCUUCAUCCCCUUCACACAAUUUUAAAAUACUUUUGAAAUUAUAUCAAAGUAAAAACCUAGAAUAAGAAAUAUACUUCUAAAUAACCUAUGAUGUAUGAAAGAAAUCAUAAUGAAAAUCUAAAAAUGUUUUGAUCUCAAUGAUAAAAAUGAUACUUUAGAAUGUACAUGAAGAACAUAGAGGAAGAUCUUCAGCUUCAAAUGCAUAGCCUUUGACAGCUGUCUAAAGAUGUUAGCAAAAGAACAUUCACCCUCUCCCAGAAGACACACAAUUGAAGAAAUAAAAUAAUAAAGACUAGGGAUUAAUAAAAUAGAACACAAAGAAACAACAGAGGGGAUCAACAAUGCCAAACGUUGUUUCUUUGAGAAGCCAAAUAAAAUCGGCGAAUUUCUGGCAAGAUUCAUCUAGUGAAAAAGAGAAGGCAACGAGAAGCAAGUCAGAAACAAAGAGGGUUAUAACUGGAGAGCUGCAGACUUAGAUAUAUAGUAAGAGCAAAUAAUGGCUUUCAUGAAGACUUCUACAAAGCAUUAAAGUAAAAAAAAAGUAUAUCUAAGUGUAAGUGUAUAUCUUACUGGAAGGAGUUUGUAAAAAAAUAAUUCUGAAUUUCUUUUAUAAGGCUUGCAAAAAUUGCAUUUCAAAAUCAAACAAUAGUACUGUAAAAAAUUACAGAUCAUUUAUGAACAUAGAUACAUAUAUCCUAAAUAAAAUACUAGAGGAAUGAAUGCAGCUAUAUAUAAAAGUACUCCAUAUAAUUAACAACUUGGGUUAUCCAAGAAAUCAAAGAAAACUUCCUCAAUCUGAUGAAGGGUAUCUAUGAAUUACCUGCUUCACUGAUAACUUGAAAUCUUUCCUUUUGAGGUCAGGGACUAGAUAAAUUGUCUACUAUCACUCCUUCUAUUUAAUGUUGUGGUGGAGGAGGCCUUAGUAUGGACAUGGAGGUAAGAAAAAAAAAGUUGGGAGAAAGAAACAUACUGUCAUCAGUAUGACAUGAUUAUAUGACAAAUGUUAGAAAAUAAUAGAGCUAAUAUGAAGGCUUAAGCAAGGUUUCUGGAAAGAAAAUACAUAUCAAAUAAUUAAUUGUACUCCUCAAUGUAAAGAGAUGGAUUCAGGGAGAGCACGUUCUGCAGACCCUGGCUGAUGGUACCCUUCCAUAGGAGUGGUUUUAUUUUGCAUCUCCUUCC